Molecule: ribosomal RNA, 385 nt
Filed under: uncultured bacterium
Lineage: Bacteria
Description: bacterial SSU rRNA
Rfam family: Bacterial small subunit ribosomal RNA
Source: RNAcentral
AAUGGGCGAAAGCCUGAUGCAGCAACGCCGCGUGAGCGAUGAAGGCCUUCGGGUCGUAAAGCUCUGUCCUCAAGGAAGAAUUUUGACGGUACUUGAGGAGGAAGCCCCGGCUAACUACGUGCCAGCAGCCGCGGUAAUACGUAGGGGGCUAGCGUUAUCCGGAAUUACUGGGCGUAAAGGGUGCGUAGGUGGUCUGACAAGUCAGAGGUGAAAGGCUACGGCUCAACCGUAGUAAGCCUUUGAAACUGUCGGACUUGAGUGCAGGAGAGGAAAGUGGAAUUCCCAGUGUAGCGGUGAAAUGCGUAGAUAUUGGGAGGAACAUCAGUGGCGAAGGCGACUUUCUGGACUGUAACUGACACUGAGGCACGAAAGCGUGGGGAGCAAA